This is a non-coding RNA of Cyanistes caeruleus (blue tit), 2456 nucleotides long. The record is from RefSeq and is a predicted model, not a curated record. NCBI's taxonomy places the organism in Eukaryota, Metazoa, Chordata, Aves, Passeriformes, Paridae.
AACCCCAUUACACGCCUGAGGAGGAUGUGGAGAAGAAAGGAAAUUCAUCAAAAGGAAGAGGAGGAAAAGAAAAAAUUAAAAGGAAAAAAAAAAAAAGAGAGAAGAGAAAGGAAAUGAGUGGCGGAAAAAAUGGGGGAAAAGACAACUUUCAGAGACUGGAAUUAAAACCCGAGCCCGAGGCCCGUGCUGCCGCAGCUCUGGGGAUGCCCUCGACACCAGGCUGGACAUGGGUUCACCCUACGUGAUGCUCAUUUUCUGGCUGACAAGGUGUAGGUCUCUGGCCCCGGGGAGAGUUCACUGGGAAUAUCAUGUUCAGAUUGGCUCAUUAUUACAUGAAUCAGGAGUGGGGGUUAUAUGGAAAACUCCAGCCCCCAAAAGCCAUGAGCUGUGAGGAGCUGCCAGCAGGACCUUGUCUUGAGGCCCCCUCAGCAGAAGCCCCUCACCACGGCUGAUCCCACUUCGCUCCUCCUCUCCCUGCUCCUGCUGGCCGACCCUGGGCUGGAGCAUGAUGUGGACCCUGAUUUCCAGCAGCGUCUGUCCAGGCUGAGCAGAGCUGCUGACCAGCACCAGACCUCGGCAUGGGGACACAGCACCGGUUCAGGCAUGGCCGGGGUGCAGAGGACACCGGGACAGCCCCAUCCUGCCCUGCACGUGGCUCUGUGGGCCACUCUCUGGGGAAACAAACGCUUUUCACCCACAAUUCCCGGCUGUGAGGCCUCAUGACUCCAAGGCAGCAUUCCUGGGACAUUCCUGAUGCCACGGUGAAGAACGUAAGGCUGGAAGAAUAGGAAAAAUUAAAAAAAACAAGAAGAAAAGAAAGAAAAAGAGUCUCCAACCCCAGGAAAUCUGUGUUAAUUGCUUAUGAACGUCUCUGUCUAAAAAAUUAUCGAAUUGAUGUUGUCGUGCUUUUUUUUGACAGCCUGUCUGUUACAUUUUUUUAAAAUAUUCAUGCACUGAAAUCUAAUUACUAGGCAAAUUUAAUGAUAAUGAAAUGAAGGCACUUUAGCAGAAAGCAUAGGGCCUUGUUAAUGUUUUCUCAGCCUCUGUCUUGUUCAUAUUUUUAAAAUUAUUUUUUUUACAACUGUCUUUCUUGCGUAUGAAAAAAAAAAAAAGAUUGCUGAAAAUAAAACUCAGAUUGCCAAUAAUGUUUGUGGUGGCUCUGUUUGUAAUGAUGGGGAAUUUGCAAGGUGAUUAAAGGUGUUUUGCAAAAAUCAAAUGAGCCUAACCUAAUCAGAUAAGGCAGAUGAAAUAUUAUUAUUAGAGGGGUAACAUUAAGAGCACGCCUUGAGGCUUUAACAAAGAUGAAGCUUCUCGUGCACUGUGCAGGGCCAACAAGAGUCUUGCCAUCCUCUAGGCCCCUCCAGCCCCUUUCCAGGACUUGUCUGUGCUCUCCCUAAGUCAGGCCUGGAUGUUUGGAGGAUGCAGGUGAUGGAGGAUGCAGGUGAUGGAGGAUGCAGGUGAUGGCUGGAGGAUGCAGGUGAUGGCUGGAGGAUGCAGGUGAUGGCUGGAGGAUGCAGGUGAUGGUUGGAGGAUGCAGGUGAUGGUUGGAGGAUGCAGGUGAUGGCUGGAGUACGGUUGCAAUUGCUGGGGAAGGCAGGUGAUGGAUGGAGAGCACACAUGAGGGUUGGAACGUGUGUGUAACGACUGGAGGAGGCUCGUGGUAACUGGAGAAGAUGGAGAUGGGGCACGGACGUGACCAAGCACACACGUGAGGGUUGGAGCACACACAGGACAGGUGGAACACAGGUGGUGGUUGGAGCAUGCACAUGAUGGAUCUUGCAUGUGACAGCCAGUCCACCUGCUCCAGGUCCUUCCUGCACCCCUCUGGGUGAUCACUGAGCAGAGUGCCAGUAGCUGGGGGGCAGAAAAAUGCUGUGACCCCACCCAUGGGCCUGAGGAGAUGCCACCUGGAGCCCACAAACCAUCAGGGGCCAGCCUGAUUGCCAGGAAGCUGUGGAGAGUCUCUGGCCAUGCUGCAGGCUGUGGUGGGUGUCCAGGCCAUGGUCGUGUCCAGGCCACAGUGGGUGUCCAGGCCAUGGUGGGUGUCCAGGCUGAGGUGGAUGUUGAGGCCACAGUGGGUGUCCAGGCCAUGGUGGUGUCCAGGCUGAGGUGGUGUCCAGGCCGUGGUGAUGUCCAGGCCGUGGUGAUGUCCAGGCCGUGGUGAUGUCCAGGCCAUGGUGGUGUCCAGGCCGUGGUGGUGUCCAGGCCUUGCAAUCAGGUUUGUACCUUGACACUGUGGCAUGAAAUGAGGCAGAUUCUCCCCAUUCAAGGCAAGCUUAAGCCUCUGAAGAGAGUGCUGCAGAGAUUCCCAGGGGAUAUUGGUUGGCAGAGGUCCCAUGAUACCCUCAAAAAUAUCCCCCCAAACAGAAAUAACUCAGUAAAACAAAGCAAUGGAUUGUUCAGCCAACUAAAAUUACCAGCAUGUCAAAUAAAAUAUGUACAGCAUUAAAAUAAAA